Molecule: unclassified non-coding RNA, 321 nt
Filed under: plant metagenome
Description: partial contains 5.8S ribosomal RNA, internal transcribed spacer 2, and large subunit ribosomal RNA
Rfam family: 5.8S ribosomal RNA (bases 1-105)
Source: RNAcentral
GAAAUGCGAUAAGUAAUGUGAAUUGCAGAAUUCCGUGAAUCAUCGAGUCUUUGAACGCACAUUGCGCUCUCUGGUAUUCCGGGGAGCAUGCCUGUCCGAGCGUCAUUUGCAACCCUCAAGCCCGGCUUGUGUGAUGGGCCAGCGUCCCCACGACCUUUCUCGGAGAUGGGACGGGCCCGAAAUGCAGUGACGGUGUCGAGGUAGACGACCCAAGUGUAUGGGGCUCUGUCACACGCUUGCGGUGCGGACCGGCGCCUGCUUGACUUUUCUGAUUAUCCAGGUUGACCUCGGAUCAGGUAGGGAUACCCGCUGAACUUAAGC